This 736-nucleotide ribosomal RNA is filed under the name uncultured bacterium. RNAcentral describes it as "bacterial SSU rRNA". It matches the Rfam family "Bacterial small subunit ribosomal RNA", at positions 9 to 732 of the family's 1533-position model. The record is from RNAcentral.
UAGUUUGAUCCUGGCUCAGGACGAACGCUGACGGUGUGCUUUAGACAUGCAAGUCGAACGAGAAACCCCUUCGGGGUUAGUAAAGUGGCGAACGGGUGAGUAACACGUGGGCAAUCUGCCCUUCGUUGGGGGACAACCGGGGGAAACCCCGGCUAAUACCCCGUAAGCUUGUCGGGUCACAUGGCCUGACAAGGAGAGGUAGCUUCGGCCAUCCGGCGAAGGAGGAGCCCGCGGUACAUUAGCUAGUUGGUGAGGUAACGGCUCACCAAGGCUACGAUGUAUAGCUGGUCUGAGAGGAUGAUCAGCCACACUGGGACUGAGACACGGCCCAGACUCCUACGGGAGGCAGCAGUCGGGAAUCUUGCACAAUGGGCGAAAGCCUGAUGCAGCAACACCGUGUGAGCGAUGAAGGCCCUAGGGUCGUAAAGCUCUGUUUGCGAGGACGAAGGGCGAAGGGUUAAUAGCCCUUAGCCUGACGGUACUUGUACAGAAAGCCCCGGCUAACUACGUGCCAGCAGCCGCGGUAAUACGUAGGGGGCGAGCGUUGUCCGGAAUUAUUGGGCGUAAAGAGCGUGUAGGCGGCUUGGUAAGUCUGCUGUGAAACCUUGGGGCUCAACCCCAAGCGUGCAGUGGAUACUGUCAAGCUAGAGGAUGGUAGAGGCCAGUGGAAUUCCCAGUGUAGCGGUGAAAUGUGCAGAUAUUGGGAGGAACACCAGUAGCGAAGGCGGCUGGCUGG